AGCAGCCGCGGUAAUUCCAGCUCCAAUAGCGUAUAUUAAAGUUGUUGCAGUUAAAAAGCUCGUAGUUGAACUUCGGAAUUUAUUCAUUGGUCAGACUUAACUGUCUGUACUGGUGUUAUGAAUUCCUACCUUCUGAGGAAUUAUCAUGCCAUUUAGUUGGUGUGGUAGGGAAUCAGGACUGUUACUUUGAAAAAUUAGAGUGUUUAAAGCAGGCUAACGUCUGAAUACAUUAGCAUGGAAUAAUAGAAUAGGACGGAUUGGUUCUAUUUUGUUGGUUUCUAGGAUCACCGUAAUGAUUAAUAGGGAUAGUUGGGGGCAUUAGUAUUCAAUUGUCAGAGGUGAAAUUCUUGGAUUUAUUGAAGACUAACUACUGCGAAAGCAUUUGCCAAGGAUGUUUUCAUUAAUCAAGAACGAAAGUUAGGGGAUCGAAGACGAUCAGAUACCGUCGUA
This 450-nucleotide ribosomal RNA is filed under the name uncultured Glomeromycotina. RNAcentral describes it as "SSU rRNA". It matches the Rfam family "Eukaryotic small subunit ribosomal RNA", at positions 569 to 1022 of the family's 1831-position model. The record is from RNAcentral. Lineage: Eukaryota; Fungi; Glomeromycota.